This 99-nucleotide ribosomal RNA is filed under the name Caerostris darwini. The record is from RNAcentral. Lineage: Eukaryota; Metazoa; Arthropoda; Arachnida; Araneae; Araneidae.
ACGACCAUAUCAUGCUGAAUAUACCGGUUCUCGUUAGAUCACCGAAGUCAAGCAUCAGUACUUGGGAGGGUGACCACCUGGGAACACCGCGUGCCGUUG